GCCGAAGUGGCGGAAUUGGUAGACGCGCUGCGUUCAGGGCGCAGUGGGCUUUCGUGCUCGUGUGGGUUCGAGUCCCUCCUUCGGCACCA
RNAcentral lists this transfer RNA (89 nucleotides) under Candidatus Latescibacterota bacterium. RNAcentral's name for it is "tRNA-Leu". It matches the Rfam family "tRNA". From Rfam's summary of the family: Transfer RNA (tRNA) molecules are approximately 80 nucleotides in length. Their secondary structure includes four short double-helical elements and three loops (D, anti-codon, and T loops). Lineage: Bacteria; Pseudomonadati; Candidatus Latescibacterota. The record is from RNAcentral.